GAGCGUGUAAGCUGAGAGGCAAGCAACCGGCGUAAAAUCCCGGUGACUCGCGGGUUCGAUUCCCGUCACGCUCU
RNAcentral lists this transfer RNA (74 nucleotides) under Candidatus Saccharimonadota bacterium. RNAcentral's name for it is "tRNA-Leu". It matches the Rfam family "tRNA". From Rfam's summary of the family: Transfer RNA (tRNA) molecules are approximately 80 nucleotides in length. Their secondary structure includes four short double-helical elements and three loops (D, anti-codon, and T loops). Further hydrogen bonds mediate the characteristic L-shaped molecular structure. tRNAs have two regions of fundamental functional importance: the anti-codon, which is responsible for specific mRNA codon recognition, and the 3' end, to which the tRNAs corresponding amino acid is attached (by aminoacyl-tRNA synthetases). tRNAs cope with the degeneracy of the genetic code in two manners: having more than one tRNA (with a specific anti-codon) for a particular amino acid; and 'wobble' base-pairing, i.e. permitting non-standard base-pairing at the 3rd anti-codon position. Lineage: Bacteria; Candidatus Saccharimonadota. The record is from RNAcentral.